UCUGUCGUGCAUCAACACGCGCAAGAUCCAGAGACACAGACAGGUGUCAUCAAGACGCGCCCCUCCUCUCACUCGCCCCUCCGCGCGAUCUAACGUUUGGCGUGGACACGGUACUUUGCUUCGCUCCCUCCUUCCCCUCCCCCUUUCCCCAAGGGGCACACCCGCAUGCAUGAGUGGGACGUUUCUCUGCACCGUAUACGAGCCUAGUCCAUACUGCUUCAUCGCGCACGCGCUCGCUCUCUGCGCUGGCGGUUCGCACUAGACAGCCAAUAGUUAAACAAAAAAAGAGAACACAAAACGUUGCCAAAAAAAGAAAAUGAGCGCUGGCACGACGUCUAGCGAGGUGAAGACCGCCACAGAAGAUUCGCAGCAGCGCACGCCCUCGAUCUACACCAGCGAGGUGGUGCGAAAGAUGUCACGGCACGGGUCAGCCCUGCCGCUAUGCAUGUCUCGCGCUCAGCACGAAGCACGCCGUCAGUCCGCAUCCGUCCACUCCGCCAGCAAGCGACGUCAUCGCCGUUCUAGCGGUUUUUUCCCCAGCUCAAACAUUCCUCCGCUGAUGGCGAUGCCGGCGGGAAACGGCUGGGGCGCAUUGAUAAGCUGCGCCGAGGCGAACACCGAGGUAUGGCGGGCGAUCCAGAUGUGCUCCUUCUAUCCCAGCAUGCGCGUCAGCGGCACCGCCUUCGAAAACUCCCUCAACCUGGCCCACCGGCAAAACGCGCACGUCGCUAGCGGCUCAUUCUGUUUGCCGUCGCACGGCCGGCUUGGGGGUGUCGACAUCACCGGCGGCAUUGUCCCUGUCCUGCAGGAUGACGGGCUACGCCAGCGCACAAUGAGCAUAAGCGUGGUACCUGACUCUUCUGCAACCCUGCGGGAGGCGCUGGAGGAAUCGCGCUCCGUGCUAGAGCUGAGCCAAGGCAGCAUUCGCGUUGCCUCUGCCGGCGGCGCUGGCACGUAUGGCAGUGGCCGCAAUUCUUUGUCUACCGCAGCAGAUGCUGCCGCGCGCACGCUCUCAUUCACGGGGGGCAGCAGCAUGGUGCAGAUGGCGUGCGCCAUGAAGCGGGCCGCGAUGUGGGAGGUGCUGGUUGUGACGGCCCUGUCACACCGAGCGAUGGAGGUCCGCUUCCGCCGCCAGCGGCUGCGCCGAGUGCUAGAGCGCCACCUUUUGCCCACGCUGCUGAAGCGCAAGCGCGAGACGGGGUCGGUGGUUCCCAACAGUGCUCGCUUAAAACGCAGCGCGAGCACCGGCAGUGGCGAUGCCACCAGCCGAGGCGGGCUGCUCGACGAUGCCGGCGCUGUACCGCAAGGCACCUAUCUCCGCGACCACGACGCCUUCUUUGACUCUCUGCACAACGCCACUCUCCUCCAAUCUUUCGCCGAGACUAUGACGCGGGAACGCUUCCUGCCAGGCGACAUCAUCGCAAGGGCCGGCGACUCUAGCCAGAAGGCCAUGUACUUCCUUAUCGCAGGCAAGUGCGAAGUGUGCACGGAGCGUGGGGAGAAGGAUGGCGACGACCCCAAGCGAGCUGACGGGGCGACUGCCGCGGAUGGUAAUGUGCGACAUCAUCAACGGAAAAUUGGCGGCGGCGCUGCGUCCCGACCGAUCAAGGAAGUGAUCAUGGCCGGCACCUCCUUUGGCGGCGUGUUUGGCGGCAGCGCUCUCUUCGCUGGCACCUACCGCGCGCUGUCGCAAUGCAUCGUGUGGGUGCUGCGGGCUGAGGAGUUUGAGGAGAUCUUUCGCUCGUUCGCGGAUCGCACGAUGCUUGACAAGUACAAGGAGGCGCUUCGACAGCACAGUUUGUGGUGGCUGCAGCAGUGGUACCACCCUGCCAAGUGCUACGGGUCUAUCCCCAUUUACCGCAAGCUCACGAAGCGCAUGUCCUCCUACCUGAGCGAUUUCACUCCUGUUGUGAAGGUCCGCGGCGAGACCAUCUUCUCCCACGGUGACGUUGCCGGCGACGUGUACUGCAUGCUCGAGGGGACAGUGCUGCGGCGGACCAAAGGUGCAGCGGGAACGUACGGAGACGACGGCGUUGCGCAGCGUCUUGGCACCAACUCCUUCACUGCGCUCAACGUUAUGGGUCGCUACCUCAUGCUCGGUGAGGAGCCGCACUUGGUCCCGGGGGUGCAGCCGUACACUUGCACCGUCAGCAGCCGUGUCGCGCUCUUUUUCAAGGUAUCUGGCGAGCGGUUUGUGAACGCGCUGCUCGACGACCCGCUACUCUACGCACAGCUGCGGGGGCAACUGAUGCGACAGCGGCAGGAAAACAUGCGCCUUCACCUCGAGUGUCUCGCCUAUGUACCACUGUUGCAACGCUUCCCGGCCGAGAAGCGAGAGGAGCUCGUGCAGCACGCACGGCCACGCGUGAUAGGCCGCUCCGUUUCGUUGUGCGAUCCGGCGCAACACAUCUCUGAUCUUCUCAUUAUCGUGAGCGGCAACGUCCGUGAUCCGCGGCACUACAACCAGAAGGCCACCAAGCCCCUCGAGGUGCCGGCGUCGUGCGAGGUGGAAAACCCGGAUGGCACUCCGGGCGAAGACAGUGGCGCUAACUCACGCGUCAGAAGCGGCAAGGCGGAUCGGCGUCAUGGUGCUCAGGGCCCGAAGUCAGGACACGCAAUGGAUCGUGACACGGUUCCCGCCUCUGGCACUGCUAUUGUUGAUACGAAUGCCACUGCCAGACUGGGCUCUCAAAGCAGGAGUUGCGAGGGUGGCGCCAUGCGAUGGAGCGCCCAGAACCCUCUCUCCGACGUCCCGGCCGACAGGGAGGCGGCGGCGGAGGAGGAUGUAGUGGAGUGGAAUUUCUCCUUUCGCGAUGCGCCGCACUCGUCUGCAUUUUCGGCCUCAGCGACUCCCUCGAACAACGUCGCGAACGUGAAGGCAGGCGGGGUAUUCAGCACAGGCUCUGCCCCUGUGAUCUCGGCGCAGCAGCAGUACCUACUGAUGCUCGAUUCGGCACCUCUCGUCUAUCCCGACGAGUCGGAAGACAUUAAUCCAGCGCUGCCGGUGCAGCCGGCCCGCCGCUUCGUCGCAACCCUGGGAGGCAGCUGGGAGGCCCUUCUGUUGGACAAGUGGCCCAACGGCUGGGAGUCGGUGACGACGGUGGAGAUGUGGGCCAUUCCAACCCGUAUGCUGCGCCUCGUGUACAACAGCUGUACCAAGCCGGUACAGCUGUCUAUCUUGAACGGUUUACGGCACGCGCAGAAGGAGGACCUGCAGCUGCCCACUCUCCCGCACACAAAGCUGCCACCGAUGAGCAUCUACACUCAUCAUGGGGAAGCAGUGAUGGCAGCAGCGGCCACCGCCGCGAAGGGCAGCGGCGCGCCGCGGACAAAGGGUACCAGCCGGUGCGGCGGUGACAGGAAGGCGGCCCAACCCGCACCUAGCGGUUUGACUUCGGGGAUUAGCGGCGAGGAGACCGGGGUGAUGGAGGUGGGGACGCAGCACUCGGCUCUUACACGCAGCACUGGCCCAACGAAGUCAGCUACGCAAGCCGUCGCGGUGACGGCUGUCAUCAAGGAAGGAAAUGGAAAGGCGCGCCAACUCGUCUCUGUUUCUGCCAGGCAGACGACACGUAGGACUACGCUGCCGCUUUCAAAGCAGAAGAUCGCGCAGACCAGCCGUACCGGGGCAGACGCACCCCAGGACACUUCGUCGCGCGGGGACGAGACGCAGGCAAGCGCAUCGGCGAGGCAGACCCAGGACGGUCGGACGCGCAGCUUGCGGCGCCUCCGCGAGGCAGCCACUGCGCUAGGUGCUGGUAAGGUAAUGCCUGCAGAACCUACCGUGGACCCCGCCUUGCUGGCCUGCUACGACGGGGUGGUCGGCGCUGCCGAUCCGCUGAUGCUGCGGAUUGUGCGCGACCCGGUGGCGGUGCUGCCGCCGCCGCGGGGCACACGCAGCGCCAAGCCGGCACCUGCCUCGAUGAGAUCAGCACAGCGGCUUCCACUGAUUGCAUCGUCUUCUGAAACUGCCUCGGCGGCAGCAUGGCCGACUCUUCCCGUGUUACGGGAUCGCUGGUUUCACGCCGUGCCAUCCUAUGAACCCUUGCCAGGGACGGCGCACGGGGCGCAGACGCUGGCUUCGCCACCGGUGUUUGCGCCGAACUCGACAGCUCUUGCGUCCACCUGCAUCUCUCCCAUCCCCCAGCAUGGCAAGAAGCUGGAGGGCUACGUGGCCUACUACGCCGCCACCGUCUCUCCGGCUCGUCCUGCCAGCAGGACAAGCAUUGGCGGAACGUCAGUCACCGGGGCCGCAGUGGCGGUGCCGGCACCUGCUGUCACUCUGACGCGCUCUCCAUCGCCGACGGAGCUAGGCAUGAACAACAUUCAUUUGCCGAAGCGCCGCGCCUACGCCGUUUGAGGCCCUGACGCGACUGUCGGAGGGGGGGAGGAUUUGGAGGUUGGCGGUUAGUGACGUCACCUCCACCCUUAGUGUGGCGUCCAUCCAAUGAAAGGUCUGCGUUGGCCGUCGCCGCCGCGUGUCUGUGUAGGCACGGUGCCGCUGAAAGUGUGUCUCGCCACUGACUAGCAGACCGUGGCACAUGCGCUCUCUCCGUCUGUGUCGCUCUCUUGUCUCUCUUCUUUUCGUUCACGAUGUUUUUCUUGGCUCUGGCUUCCCCACCACGUCAGCCGUGUCCAAGCUAAAGCACACACACACACACAGGAGGGAGCGAGAGAAAGCCGUCAGCCGGUCUGUGCGUGUGGUAAAGGACGACUUGCAUGAUGCACAUGUCGUCUUUAUUAUUUCUUCUCUUCGCGUGCUCGCGUUUGUCCUCGGUGACAUGCACACGCCCAUCACGUACGCCCUCCCACACACACACACACACCCUAGGCAAGCGCAGGUAUUCACACACACACACACACACACACACACACAAGCGUUCGCCUCGGCAAAUACCCUCAUCCUCCCUCAUCAUCAUCCACCUCCCUCGCUUGCGUUUCUCAGCGUUGACGCACCAGGUUUACAUUCACCAAGGCCGAACGGCUGCAGAUGCGGGCGAAUUAGUGCCGCAGUGAGGUGGAAAGGCGGGGGGUAGUGACCGGUGAGGCGGGAGCUGAGUUGAGGGAGUUCGUUACACACAUCUGGGCGCAUCGGGGUGGGGGCCGGCACUACAGGCCCCUCUCCCCCCUACUGCGGCUCAGACUUUGCUUUUCUGUCUCACCAAUUUACCCCCACCCCCUGUCUUUGUUUUACUUGGCUGACCUGCUGUUUGCCGUUGUGUUUGUCCCUGUACCCGUCCCUUCGCCUCCCCCUCCCCCAUUUCCGAUCCCUUCGCUUCUGCUACCCUCAAUCACUCUUUUUGUCUGUUUCUCGAUGUUAAACUUAUGAACCGCCUCUUUCCUUCACACGCACGUGCACAUGUACAUACACCUGAGGCGCUGCGGCGACUCCGGAUCAACAUUACAUCUCUCCUUUCUACCGAAGGGGGGAGGGUCAUCUUCGUUUCGCGCGCGUAACCCUUUUAUGCUUGUUUGCAUUUGUUGCCCCACCCCGACCUCAUCCUCGCCCUCCACGGUGGAGCCGCGGUCUCCCCGCUUCACCUUCUCUUCGGCCCUCUCACGUGUACCUCACUCUCACUCUUCGGUUGCCGUCUUGCUCUCGGGCCUCAUCUCGGCCGCACAUGUGCCUCUCUGCUCCGUCGAGCCUUAUACGGUUUUCCUUGUACGAAGAGGGCGGCAUCAGCUGAAUCCACUCAGCAAGAUAAGAAUUGUACACGUCAGCAAGCAAAAAAAAAACAUGAAGAGGCCCAAUGCAGCACACGCUCAGCAAGUUCGGGGAGGAGUACGCAUUUCUCCAUGCCCCCCUCCCUCCCCACACUCUUCUCUUACUGCUGCACACAGCACAUCUCUGACGGGUGUGCCGCUCUUUGGAACCUUCUUUUUUUGGGGGGGAGGGAGUGGAAGGAGAGUACGGCGACGAAUGCGUCGCCUUCGGCGCUGAGGAGUGCACCUGGUGUUUGCCUCCCUGAAUCCUGGGAAGGGCCGAGGGUGUGCUUGUG
RNAcentral lists this unclassified non-coding RNA (5999 nucleotides) under Leishmania donovani. RNAcentral describes it as "gene:LdHU3.27.2120(CDS-product:Cyclic_nucleotide-binding_domain_containing_protein_putative)". The record is from RNAcentral. Lineage: Eukaryota; Euglenozoa; Kinetoplastea; Trypanosomatida; Trypanosomatidae.